UAAUAAUAAUAAUAAUAAUAACAGUGUUUGCACAGUGAAAAAAAGGUAAUACACUGACGAAGGAAUGAAUUCACUUUAAAGGAAUGGCUUAUCCAAAAGUGAACAUUUGCUGAAUCCAAGAUGUGGAUGAGUUUGUUUCUUCAUGGGAACAGAUUUGGAGAAAUUCAGCAUUGCAUGAGUUGCUCAUCAGUGGAUCCUCUGCAGUGAAUGGGUGCCGUCAGAAUGAGAGUCCAAACAGCUGAUAAAAACAUCACAAUAAUCCACAAGUAAUCCACACAUGAAAAGUCAUCUCUUCUGAAUCAAGAGAGAAAUAUGCACAAGAUCAAGCACCAUUUAGGCUACAAGCAAAAACAGUUCUGAACUAAUAUGUCAAUCAGUUUUGAUGUGAGAAGACAACAGGGGAUGGACUUUUUUUUUUUUUUUUUUAACUGAAGGAAGAUUUAUUAUGGUUAAGGACUUAAGGUUAAGGUUUAAAGUUAAAAUACCUUAAUGAUGGAUUUGUUUCUUACAGGUACAUAACUGUUCACUUUACAAAAUGUUAACUGAUGGACUGGAGUGGUGUGGAUUACUGUGAUGUUUUUAUCAGCUGUUUGGACUCUCAUUCUGACGGCACCCAUUCACUGCAGAGGAUCCAUUGUGCUGUAUGGAUUGCAUUGUAAAAGGAUCCAUCUGUACUCAGGCUGGAGGAGGAGAGAAGAGGCUCAAGGGAAUGCUCUGCAGCCAUAUGUCCUCCUUACUGGCCCCCAUUAGACCUGACAGGUGAUAUAUGGUGCACACAGGAAAAACAAACUACUCAGCAAAAGCCGGCAGACAUUGAUAAACGAAGGCAUGGUGACACAGAUACUGUGGGCUCAUCGUGGCCGAGCUUGGGGAUUUCUCCUGCAAAAUGCCACUUCAAUUUCUGUCCACAGUAUCCAACCCAAUUAGGGCAGAAGAUUCACAAUGUAGUGUCUAUUUAAACACACAUCAACAUCCCAAAGUCCACUUCCAAGAUGUUUGAUCUAUUUUAUCCCACUAGAUUAUUCCUUUCCAAGGUCAUUUGUAUGCAUGAAAUUAAAAUGAUCUCAAAAUAUAUCUCUCCCUCUCUGCUAGAAUCAUCCACCUUUUUAUCUUGAUCUUGGAGUGGUUAAAUAUCACAAAGACAUGUUCAGGUCACAUUUCAUACCUAUAAAUAAAUAAAUAUUCACAAUAUGCUGUGUAUACA
Long non-coding RNA from Cyprinus carpio (common carp), 1204 nucleotides. The record is from Ensembl. Lineage: Eukaryota; Metazoa; Chordata; Actinopteri; Cypriniformes; Cyprinidae.